RNAcentral lists this ribosomal RNA (252 nucleotides) under uncultured bacterium. Its description in RNAcentral is "partial 16S ribosomal RNA". It matches the Rfam family "Bacterial small subunit ribosomal RNA", at positions 524 to 776 of the family's 1533-position model. The record is from RNAcentral.
UACGAAGGGUGCAAGCGUUAUUCGGAAUUACUGGGCGUAAAGCGCACGUAGGCGGAUCGGAAAGUCAGAGGUGAAAUCCCAGGGCUCAACCCUGGAACUGCUUUGAAACUCCCGGUCUUGAGGUCGAGAGAGGUGAGUGGAAUUCCGAGUGUAGAGGUGAAAUUCGUAGAUAUUCGGAGGAACACCAGUGGCGAAGGCGGCUCACUGGCUCGAUACUGACGCUGAGGUGCGAAAGCGUGGGGAGCAAACAGG